GUGUUUGUGACAAGGCCGCGAGGAAAGAGAUAGCAGACCACUUUAGACAGAGAGAAAUUUGGUCAACGUUGACGUAAACAUUAUUGUUUGUUGGUCAUUUGAAGCGUUGUAAGUUUUUUGACAGACGUGUCCUGAUUCUUGUUGUUGUCAUUCGUCACCGGCUGCAGAAUUGUUUAGUUUGAACUGUCAAUGUCGUCGUCGCCCUCCCGUUGUUUACAUCCAACGAUGGGCCAACAUGAUGCCGAGAGAUGACAUGGUUGGAUACUGUUGCAAUCGGUCGUAGUAAGGGAAACCUACACGCACGGCCUCCAGCAGGACCCGCUGCAGGGCCCCUAGAAGGAUCGUCGCCCCCUGGCCGGGGCGGAAGAUGAGCAUGCGAGGGGGCCGCACCGCCAUGAACGCGGCCGGCUACAGGUACAGCUUGAUGGACAUGAUGGAGACGGCGCCCAGCCCGUCGCGGCGCCGGAAGGUCAACUUCUCGAAGCGCGAGGUGCGCGUGCUGCUGCAGGAGGUGGAGCGCCUGCGCGGCCCGCUGCUGGGCAUCGGCCUGGACAGCCACU
Molecule: long non-coding RNA, 560 nt
Organism: Thrips palmi
Lineage: Eukaryota; Metazoa; Arthropoda; Insecta; Thysanoptera; Thripidae
Exons: 4
Source: RefSeq, a predicted model, not a curated record